GGCAGAGACACAGGCAGAGGGAGAAGCAGGCUCCAUGCACCGGGAGCCCGAUGUGGGAUUCGAUCCCGGGUCUCCGGAUCGCGCCCUGGGCCAAAGGCAGGCGCCAAACCGCUGCGCCACCCAGGGAUCCCCUGACACACCUUUUCUGUAGUCAAAUCAUCUUCUGUCCUCCUCUUAGAAGGAUCCUUGUGAUUACCUCGGACCCAACUCGAUAAUGCAGGAUCACCUCCCCAUCUCACGGUCCCUGACCUAAUUACAUCUGCAAAGUUCCUUUUAUCCUGCAAGUCAACAUCUUCCCUGUUUCAGCAAUUAGGGUAUACAUAUAUUUUGGGGGAGAGAAUGGCUAUUAGUCUGCCUACCACAGGUGGUCCACAGGCCAGACUCAGGAAAAAAAAAAAAACCUGCAAGAAGCAGCGUUUACUUCAUUGUUUCUCAUUACCCACCAUACCCAUAAGGCAGUGAUUCUCAGGGAGGGAGGGAUGAUAUUCCUGCCCUGGGGACAUUUGGCAAUGUAUGGAAGGAGUCAAUGAUUAGUAUGGAGAAGCAGAUGAGAAAGAGAACCCAUGAGAAGAAACACAACUUUUUUUCUAACCCACUAAAAAAGCUACAUAUUUUCUACAUGGUCUCUUCUCCCUUGUGCAGUGCUAAUGGAAAUGACACGCACUGUGGGGUCAGGUGAAACUGGGUUCGUGUCCCAGCUCUGCUGGGUAUGACACAGAGAUUGCUUCAGUAACUCUCUGAGCCUUUGGUGUCCUCAUCUGUAAAGUGAGAAGAGUCAUAUUUCCCUCAGAGAAGUGAGGUGAACCCUGGAGCGUGACGUGACGGCUAACACACCUUUCACUUGCUUGGUUCCCUAACCAUUAACUUAGAGGAGUAGCUAUUUCAGUCUUGCUCAGAUAGAUAUUCCCAGAAGGAACACUGCAUUAGAAAUUGCCCAAACCUGUGUCUAUCGGGUAAUCACACCUAAUUGAUGGUGGUCAGAUCAAAAGGAAGACAAGCAAGAGAGCAGCUGUGUCUAGGAUGUAAGCCACAGUGCUGGUCAAACAGAAGACUUAACUAAACCAUAGCAAUUUAGGUAGGGAUUAUGAAAAGUCAUCAAAAGCCAGAAAUGUGCGUGUUAUCAAUCCAAUCCCCAAAGCAGUGUGUACACAGUGACUGUUAUGAGCAUAAAUGAUAGAUGGCCAAACACCUAUAAAACAAAUAAAGAUAACCAAAGGGGUAAGGGGUCUGUUUGCUUUCUAGAUGAAGAGGUGGCCUCAGUAGGAGUGACAUGGAGGAUUGCAGAUGGGCUGCAGGAGCUGAGGAUGGCCUUGCACAGCAGAUGUGGCCAAGGUGCCAGCAGCAUGGCAAGUUACUACACCUUACCCAAGCAAGCCUCAGCUACUGAGACUGAUUAAAACAAAAUACAUUCUGGCUGAGGCUCCAUGUGAAUCCUGCGACGUCCUGUUUGUGGAAAUGAGCACAAUGCGCAAGCAGGUGAGCUCCCCUAACUAAAAUCCAACCUGCUUUGUGGGAGACUUUGCUGCGGAGGCCAGGUGCACAGCUCAUGCCUGGCACCACGGGGCACAGCAGAACAUACCACCACCACCCAUUAUCCCGGAAUGUGGGCGUGAAGAAUAUGCCCACAUCCACGAAGCAGGGAUAGAUCCCCAUGGAAACGCCUCAUCACUGACAUUUCAGCUCCCCAUCCCAGUGCCGAGAACAGGAGGCACCCACUGUGACCUAUUGCUAACAGUUUAUCAAGACAAGGAGGAAGCAUCUUGCCUUUUCACGGUCAGAAACAACACAGGGUAUAGUCUUCUUUUCCUUGUUUUUUUGUACUUAGGACAAGACUUUUAAAAAAUCCCACUGGAUCCUUUUACAUCUGAGACUGCCUCACAAAAUAGAAUGAGAUUUAACCUAAAAGCCAAACAUCUAUCAGAUUUUAUUUUUAAAUAUUUUAUUUAUUUGAGAGAGACAGAGCAUGAGCAGGGACGAGGGGUGAAAGGGAGAGGGAGAAGCAGACUCCCUGCUAAGCAGGGAGCCCAAAGUGGGGCUUGAUCCCAGGACCCUGAAAUCAUAACCUGAGCUGAAAUCAGAUGCUGAACCCACUGAGACACCCAAGCACCCCAAGAUCUAUCAAAUUUUAAAGGUGAGAAGGCAUUCUGUACAGCACAGCUUUUAUGCCAGACCUAUACUCUACAGAAUGUGUAGGGUACAGCUCCAUUACUCUCUAAGAAUUACCCUGUGUUGUCAGAGGAUUGUAAAAAGGAGUACAAGUGCUUCUCCAAUGUCACUGCAAACCUAGCUCUACUGCAUUAUUCUGGAUUCCAGGCGAUGUGUUCAAAUUCUUAACUCCAUCAGGGUUGACAAACAAGUCACUUUAUCUAAAAUGCAGCCACUUUACAUCCAUUUACACCAAAGGUGAAAAAAUUAAGAGAAAGCAUUGUUAGCCUGGCUUUAAUAUGAACAGAUGGAAAAGCCUCGCUUGGCCAUGAAUGUGUAUCAUGGUUUUACAUGUUAUGAGCUGAACUGUUGAAAUUCACAGAUUCACAGGUUGAAAUCCUAAUCCCCAGGGUCUCAGAAUUGGAAGUGGUUGUAUCUGGAGAUGGGGCCUUUAAAUAGAUAAUUAAGGUAAAAUGAAGUCACGAGGGUGGGUACUUAUCCAACAUAACUGGUGUCCUUGUAAGAAGAGGAGAUUAGGACACAAACAAGCAGAGAGGGCUGACCAUGUGAGGACACUCGGAGGAGAGAGUCUACAUGCCCAGGAGAGAAGCCUCGAGAGGAUCCAGCCCUGCCUAAGCCUGGAUCUCAGACUCCCAGCCUCUGGACUGUAAGACAUAAAUGUCUUUUGUUUGAGCUCACCACUCUGAGGCAAUCUAUCAUGGCAGCCUGAGCACACUCAUACAUAUAUUUUCUGUAUCAACUGUUGGAAGUUCUCCUUUCUUUGUUUUACAAACUUUAUUGAGGACCUGGCUAUAUGUCAGGCCCAGGACAAUAAGUUUUAUAUUUCUAAUUCAGUUCUCUGAAAUGCAACAUAUGAAUUACUAGCCCUAGUUUAUGAACAAAUACACUGUUAUAAAUCUGCCCAAGAUCACACUAGAUGAUCCAACUGGACCUCCUCCAGUCUAGACAGACCCAGAAGCAGGUCUUAUUUUGUUUCACUCCCUCUUCCUCCAGGACCCAGGUGCUUUAAUGAGUAAAAUGUCUCUGUGUAUCAGGAGAAAUAUUUGUGUGUGAGUGAUGCCUGGAGAGAGCUGAGAGCUGUAUGUACCACACCCAUCUGGGAAGAGCCCACCAUCAACUCCAUGGUCACCAAGCAUGGAUCACCCUAAUAGGGAAGCAGAGCUGUGACUCUCUCCCUUUACAUACUCAUCCACAUCCACAUGGAAUACACUGGAUGGCAGAGAACACCAGCCCCCCUCCUUUCCUCCCUUGCCUGUUCCACCACACCUCCAGGUAUGGCCCCUUCCUAGCUUCAUAGCUACAUUACUUAGCCACUGCUACAAAACAAAUGACAAACUUAGCAGCUUAAAACACCCAUUUAUUAGCUCACAGAUCUGUAGGAUACAAGUCCAGGAUAGAUGGCUAGGUUCUGCACCGUGGGUCUCCCAAAGCUGUCCCCAAAGACACUCCCAAAGUGUCUGCUGGGCUGGGUGUUGCUACCUACAAUGUUCAUAAAGAAUUCAUUUCCAGGAUCAUUUGGGUUGCCUAAUAAAUUCUAAAAUAAAUUUAGGGGCACCUGGGUGGCUCAGUGGUUGAGCAUCUGCCUUUGGCUCAGGUUAUGAUCCCAGGAUCCUGGGAUUGAGUCCCACACUGGGCUCCCCGCAGGAAGCCUGCUUCUCCCCCUGUCUAUGUCUCUGCCUCUCUCUGUCUCUCAUGAAUGAAUAAAUAAAAUAUUUUAAAAACCCAAUUCCGUUCCUUUGGUUGUAGGACUGAGGUCCCCAUUUCCUUGCUGGCUGUCAGCCAAAGGUCAUUUCUUCUCCUAGAGGUCACCUGCACUCUUUCUCACAUAGCCCCUCCAUUCCUCAAACCACCAGCAGCACCUUGAGCCCUUCAUAUACUUCAAGUAUCUCUGACUUCUCCUUCUGCUACCAGCUGGUAAAAUACCUCUACUUUCAAGGGGUGUGUAUGAUUAGAUUAAACCUACCUUACCCCAAUAUUCUCUGUUUUACCAAUAUAAAGCAACAUAAUGAAGGAAGCAAUAUAUAAUCAUAUAAUAGGCUCCUACCCACACUCAGUGGGGAAGGGAUUGCCCAAGGGAGGGUCAGCCUUAGGUUCUGCAACCACAGCAGGUCACACAUACCCCCUGUCCUUAUCAUGUCUCCUGUUCCUUCCACAUCAGUAUUCUAAGCAACUUCUUUACCUUUUAAGCAAUUUUCAUUUCCCACCCUAGAGAAACAGUGACCAUUAUCAAACAUCAUUGUAAAAAAAAAAAAAAAAAAAAAAAAAA
Molecule: long non-coding RNA, 4432 nt
Filed under: Canis lupus familiaris (dog)
Lineage: Eukaryota; Metazoa; Chordata; Mammalia; Carnivora; Canidae
Description: lncRNA (ENSCAFG00000057375.1)
Source: RNAcentral